UUAGAUCCAAAGUUUUUAGUUCAAAGUCUGUUGCAAAUAUCCUUGCAUUCAAGAGAGACAUGAAGAAGGUGAUUUUCAUGGUCUUACUCUUAGUUAUUGCCACCGAGUUCAUAGUUGAAACAGAAUCCUGUAAGAAUGUUUAUGACUGCAGAGAAAAAUUCCAACCGGAAGCAACCACCUGCACGAAAGUUACGGAUUGCGUAGGAAAACUUCCUCAUCCAUAUUGCUUCUUUCAGUGUUCUAAAGGGAAAUGCAUUUCGGCGUGUGACAAGAAAUCUGCAAAUGAAUUGCGAAUGUGAAUUGAAGCUUUCAGAAUAAAUGAAUAAAUAAUCAUGAAUAAUACUUCUUUUUCAAAGUUAUCUUUGUUCCCCUAGUCUUCCCUAUAAUGAAUUAUGAAAUAUAUUGGCAACAAAGAUCUUUUGAU
Molecule: long non-coding RNA, 424 nt
Organism: Macadamia integrifolia
Lineage: Eukaryota; Viridiplantae; Streptophyta; Magnoliopsida; Proteales; Proteaceae
Exons: 2
Source: RefSeq, a predicted model, not a curated record